AAAUUGAAGAGUUUGAUCAUGGCUCAGAUUGAACGCUGGCGGCAGGCCUAACACAUGCAAGUCGAACGGUAGCACAGAGAGCUUGCUCUCGGGUGACGAGUGGCGGACGGGUGAGUAAUGUCUGGGAAACUGCCUGAUGGAGGGGGAUAACUACUGGAAACGGUGGCUAAUACCGCAUAACGUCGCAAGACCAAAGAGGGGGACCUUCGGGCCUCUUGCCAUCAGAUGUGCCCAGAUGGGAUUAGCUAGUUGGUGAGGUAACGGCUCACCAAGGCGACGAUCCCUAGCUGGUCUGAGAGGAUGACCAGCCACACUGGAACUGAGACACGGUCCAGACUCCUACGGGAGGCAGCAGUGGGGAAUAUUGCACAAUGGGCGCAAGCCUG
RNAcentral lists this ribosomal RNA (386 nucleotides) under Salmonella enterica. Its description in RNAcentral is "bacterial SSU rRNA". It matches the Rfam family "Bacterial small subunit ribosomal RNA", at positions 1 to 385 of the family's 1533-position model. RNAcentral also lists the same sequence under 1 other name. Lineage: Bacteria; Pseudomonadati; Pseudomonadota; Gammaproteobacteria; Enterobacterales; Enterobacteriaceae. The record is from RNAcentral.